RNAcentral lists this ribosomal RNA (536 nucleotides) under Phialocephala fortinii. RNAcentral describes it as "eukaryotic LSU rRNA". The stretch from base 176 to 329 matches the Rfam family "5.8S ribosomal RNA". Lineage: Eukaryota; Fungi; Ascomycota; Leotiomycetes; Helotiales; Mollisiaceae. The record is from RNAcentral.
GGCCUCCGGUGAGGCUCGACGUUGGAACAGCGGUUAGGAGCUUACACCCACCCGUGUUUACAUACUAUUGUUGCUUUGGCGGGCCGUGGCCUCCACUGCGGGCUCUGCUCGUGUGUGCCCGCCAGAGAACCAAACUCUGAAUGUUAGUGAUGUCUGAGUACUAUCUAAUAGUUAAAACUUUCAACAACGGAUCUCUUGGUUCUGGCAUCGAUGAAGAACGCAGCGAAAUGCGAUAAGUAAUGUGAAUUGCAGAAUUCAGUGAAUCAUCGAAUCUUUGAACGCACAUUGCGCCCUGUGGUAUUCCGCAGGGCAUGCCUGUUCGAGCGUCAUUUAACCACUCACGCCUAGCGUGGUAUUGGGGCACGCGGUCUCCGCGGCCCUCAAAAUUAGUGGCGGCGCCGGUGGGCUCUAAGCGUAGUACAUACUCCCGCUAUAGAGUUCCCCCGGUGGCUCGCCAGAACCCCCAAUUUUUACAGGUUGACCUCGGAUCAGGUAGGGAUACCCGCUGAACUUAAGCAUAUCAAUAAGCGGAGGAA